RNAcentral lists this ribosomal RNA (505 nucleotides) under uncultured bacterium. Its description in RNAcentral is "partial 16S ribosomal RNA". It matches the Rfam family "Bacterial small subunit ribosomal RNA", at positions 28 to 507 of the family's 1533-position model. The record is from RNAcentral.
GACGAACGCUGGCGGCGUGCCUAAUACAUGCAAGUAGAACGCACAGUUUAUACCGUAGCUUGCUACACCAUAGACUGUGAGUUGCGAACGGGUGAGUAACGCGUAGGUAACCUGCCUGGUAGCGGGGGAUAACUAUUGGAAACGAUAGCUAAUACCGCAUAAUAUUGAUUAUUGCAUGAUAAUUGAUUGAAAGAUGCUAUUGCAUCACUACCAGAUGGACCUGCGUUGUAUUAGCUAGUAGGUGAGGUAACGGCUCACCUAGGCGACGAUACAUAGCCGACCUGAGAGGGUGAUCGGCCACACUGGGACUGAGACACGGCCCAGACUCCUACGGGAGGCAGCAGUAGGGAAUCUUCGGCAAUGGACGAAAGUCUGACCGAGCAACGCCGCGUGAGUGAAGAAGGUUUUCGGAUCGUAAAGCUCUGUUGUAAGAGAAGAACGGGUGUGAGAGUGGAAAGUUCACACUGUGACGGUAUCUUACCAGAAAGGGACGGCUAACUACGCG